Molecule: transfer RNA, 74 nt
Filed under: Ipomoea nil (Japanese morning glory)
Lineage: Eukaryota; Viridiplantae; Streptophyta; Magnoliopsida; Solanales; Convolvulaceae
Rfam family: tRNA
About the family: Transfer RNA (tRNA) molecules are approximately 80 nucleotides in length. Their secondary structure includes four short double-helical elements and three loops (D, anti-codon, and T loops). Further hydrogen bonds mediate the characteristic L-shaped molecular structure. tRNAs have two regions of fundamental functional importance: the anti-codon, which is responsible for specific mRNA codon recognition, and the 3' end, to which the tRNAs corresponding amino acid is attached (by aminoacyl-tRNA synthetases). tRNAs cope with the degeneracy of the genetic code in two manners: having more than one tRNA (with a specific anti-codon) for a particular amino acid; and 'wobble' base-pairing, i.e. permitting non-standard base-pairing at the 3rd anti-codon position.
Source: Rfam by way of RNAcentral
GGCCUAUUAGCUCAGUUGGUUAGAGCAUCGUGCUAAUAACGCGAAGAUCGCAGGUUCAAGACCUGUAUGGGCCA